This 19-nucleotide microRNA is filed under the name Xenopus laevis (African clawed frog). RNAcentral's name for it is "xla-miR-5190". The record is from RNAcentral. Lineage: Eukaryota; Metazoa; Chordata; Amphibia; Anura; Pipidae.
UUCAUGUAGAAUGUUGGUA